GGCGGCGUGCUUAACACAUGCAAGUUCGAACGAAAGGACCGGGAAGAGCUUGCUCUUUCCGGAAUUGAGUGGCGGACGGGUGAGUAACGCGUGGGUAACCUGCCUCACACAGGGGGGAUAACAGUUGGAAACGGCUGCUAAUACCGCAUAAGCGCACAGUACCGCAUGGUACAGUGUGAAAAACUCCGGUGGUGUGAGAUGGACCCGCGUCUGAUUAGCUAGUUGGCAGGGUAACGGCCUACCAAGGCGACGAUCAGUAGCCGACCUGAGAGGGUGACCGGCCACAUUGGGACUGAGACACGGCCCAAACUCCUACGGGAGGCAGCAGUGGGGAAUAUUGCACAAUGGGGGAAACCCUGAUGCAGCGACGCCGCGUGAGUGAUGAAGUAUUUCGGUAUGUAAAACUCUAUCAGCAGGGAAGAUAAUGACGGUACCUGACUAAGAAGCACCGGCUAAAUACGUG
This 463-nucleotide ribosomal RNA is filed under the name uncultured bacterium. RNAcentral describes it as "bacterial SSU rRNA". It matches the Rfam family "Bacterial small subunit ribosomal RNA", at positions 38 to 507 of the family's 1533-position model. The record is from RNAcentral.